Molecule: ribosomal RNA, 1745 nt
Filed under: Rickettsiales bacterium
Lineage: Bacteria; Pseudomonadati; Pseudomonadota; Alphaproteobacteria; Rickettsiales
Description: partial 23S ribosomal RNA
Rfam family: Bacterial large subunit ribosomal RNA
Source: RNAcentral
AGGAAGUAGAAAAACCAUUACAGCUAGGAGGUUGGCUUGGAAGCAGCCAUCCUUUAAAGAAAGCGUAACAGCUCACUUGUCUAAAUAAGUUUUUCUGCGCUGAAAAUGUACCGGGGCUAAAGCUGUAUACCGAAGAUGUGAGUACUUAUUGAUUCCGAUCAAUAGGUGCGGUAGCGGAGCGUUCUGUAAGUCUGUGAAGGUAGUUUGUGAAAACUGCUGGAGAUAUCAGAAGUGAGAAUGCUGACAUAAGUAGCGUAAAAGAGUGUGAAAAACACUCUCACCAAAAAUCUAAGGGUUCCUACGUUAAGUUAAUCUGCGUAGGGUUAGUCGGUUCCUAAGGCGAGUCCGUAAAGGAGUAGUCGAUGGCAAUCAGGUUAAUAUUCCUGAACCUCUUAAGUGUGACGGGUUUUGUAUUUGUAUAGGUCUGAUUGGAUUGACCUAUGCUUAAAAGAAGCUCCAGGAAAUAGCACUUAUAUUCAUGAGGCCGUACCGUAAACCGACACUGGUGGAUGAGUAGAGUAUACUAAGGUGUUGAAAGAAUGAUGUUGAAGGAACUCGGCAAAUUGUACCUGUAACUUCGGAAGAAGGGUAACCUGCUUUUAGGCAACUAUUAGUAGGUGGCACAGAAUAGGGAGUAGCGACUGUUUACUAAAAACACAGGACUCUGCAAACACGUAAGUGGAAGUAUAGGGUCUGACGCCUGCCCGGUGCUGGAAGGUUAAUAGGAGGGGUGCAAGCUCCAAAUUGAAGCCCCAGUAAACGGCGGCCGUAACACUGACGGUCCUAAGGUAGCGAAAUUCCUUGUCGGGUAAGUUCCGACCCGCACGAAUGGCGUAACGAUUUCUCCACUGUCUCCAACAUCAAUUCAGCGAAAUUGAAUUCCCCGUGCAGAUGCGGGGUACCCGCGGUUAGACGAAGAGACCCCGUGCACCUUUACUAUAGCUUUACAUUGUUAUUAAAAAUGUAAUGUGCAGGAUAGGUGGGAGACUUUGAAGUUAUGGCGCUAGCUGUAAUGGAGUCAACCUUGAGAUACCACCCUUUACAUUUUUGAUACCUAACUAUGUUUCAUUAUCUGGAACUAGGACAUUGUAUGGUGGGUAGUUUGACUGGGGCGGUCGCCUCCUAAAAAGUAACGGAGGCGUGCGAAGGUAAGCUAGAGCUGGUCGGAAAUCAGCUUGAUAGUACAAUGGCAUAAGCUUGCCUGACUGCGAGGCUGACAAGCCAAGCAGAGACGAAAGUCGGCCAUAGUGAUCCGGUGAUUCUGUAUGGAAGGGUCAUCGCUCAACGGAUAAAAGGUACGCCGGGGAUAACAGGCUGAUGGUGUUCAAGAGUUCAUAUCGACGACACCGUUUGGCACCUCGAUGUCGACUCAUCACAUCCUGGGGCUGGAGAAGGUCCCAAGGGUUCGGCUGUUCGCCGAUUAAAGUGAUACGUGAGUUGGGUUUAGAACGUCGUGAGACAGUUCGGUUUCUAUCUGCCGUGGGUGAAGGAAAUUUGAGAAGAUCUAACUCUAGUACGAGAGGACCGAGAUGGAUAUACCUCUGGUGUACCAGCUGUUAUGCCAAUAGCAUUGCUGGGUAGCUAUGUAUAGAUGGGAUAAUUGCUGAAAGCAUAUAAGCAAGAAACCCUCUUCAAAAAGAUUUCCCAAUUAAGGCCGUGGAAGACUAUCACGUUGAUAGGCUAGGUGUGGAAGCAUGGUAACAUGUGAAGCUAACUAGUACUAAUAGCCUGAUCGAUUUAUUUGC